Molecule: non-coding RNA, 126 nt
Organism: Triticum urartu
Lineage: Eukaryota; Viridiplantae; Streptophyta; Magnoliopsida; Poales; Poaceae
Source: Rfam
AUAGUACUCCCUCCGUCCAAAAAAACUUGUCCCUCAAAUGGAUGUAUCUGGCACCAAGUUAGUGUUAGAUACAUUCAUUUGAGGGACAAGCCUGGGACAAGUUUUUUCGGACGGAGGGAGUACUAU